This 518-nucleotide ribosomal RNA is filed under the name uncultured bacterium. RNAcentral's name for it is "bacterial SSU rRNA". It matches the Rfam family "Bacterial small subunit ribosomal RNA", at positions 51 to 564 of the family's 1533-position model. The record is from RNAcentral.
CGACGGAAGUCGUUAUAGAAGGAUUGAAGAUUUAUCUGAUNCCCAUUUUAUAACAAUGGCUUUAGUGGCGGACUGGUGAGUANCNCGUGAGCAACCUGCCUACUAGAGGGGAAUAACAGUGAGAAAUCAUUGCUAAUACCGCAUAUGCCAUGAACAUCACAUGAUGAAAAUGGGAAAAGAGUAAUCUGCUAGUAGAUGGGCUCGCGUCUGAUUAGAUAGUUGGCGGGGUAACGGCCUACCAAGUCGACGAUCAGUAGCCGGACUGAGAGGUUGAACGGCCACAUUGGGACUGAGAUACGGCCCAGACUCCUACGGGAGGCAGCAGUCGGGAAUAUUGCGCAAUGGAGGAAACUCUGACGCAGUGACGCCGCGUAUAGGAAGAAGGUUUUNNGAUUGUAAACUAUUGUCGUUAGGGAAGAUACAAGACAGUACCUAAGGAGGAAGCUCCGGCUAACUACGUGCCAGCAGCCGCGGUANUACGUAGGGAGCAAGCGUUAUCCGGAUUUAUUGGGUGUAAA